UGGGGACAGCCGGCCUCCGGCGGGAUCCGGCGGCCUCCGGCCGGGCAGAGCACCUCGCGGCGCUGCAGGCCGUCGCCGCACGACGCCGAACACUGCACGCAGAAAUGGGAAGUAUUCAAGAGCAAACCUGAGAAGUGGAUGGUUUUGUGUUUUCAUACAUUUCCGCAGAAAAACACAAAGAAUGAUAAUCUGCUUGGUUUUUCUAUUCCAUUGACCAAAUGACCAGGAACAAAGUCACGUUUUAUAAGCAAUGACGUCCUCUCAUUUCUCAUCUCAUCUUCAACCGCAUGUCUUGUCGCAGGGAUAUUUCAACAUUUUCCUUUUGCUGCUUAAUACUUUGUUUUCAUGAAUUUGGAGGCAACAUUUAACUGUAACUGUUUUGUGUCUCCUUUCAAGGGAUGAUCCUGAGCAACCUAGUUGUUUUCGUGGGGCUAAUGCAUGGCAUGCUAUGUACUGAUGUCAACUGAUACCUUGUUUUAGGAGGGUCCUUUUGCGGGUGGAAUCACAAUCUUUGAGUUUCUGGUUAUUUGUACAUGACUGAGAACAGCAUCAAAUGUGGUCAUAUGUUUUGCAGGUUAUGGGAGCAACAAGUGAUGAACAUAUGAUCAAAGAUUGAGCUGAGGUUCCUGAGUUUAUACAAUUACAGUAUCUAGAUAUACCGACAUGUCCAUUCGUAUGUGACGCAACAAAACGUAUUUCAUUGUGUAUUAUUUGUCGUUGAACCACUACGCUGCGUGCUUCAUCCUGGCUAACCACGCUUCACUGUGUGGAGCAAUGCUCUGUGCUGCCCUGCAGCUGUUUAGAGCCAGCGCACAUCCUCUUUGACGUGUGUCAGAUGUGGUUCUGUGCUUGGACUCUUUGGCCUGUGGCGUCAGUUCAGAGAAAGAGGAUCGGAAAAAGACAGCGUGAAAAAAAAAAAAACGAGCAAGAGAGAAGAAAAAGUGGAGAGGCUCCAGACUCCAGGUGCACAUUGUGAGUGCGUCUGGCAUGUUUAGUGGGGCAUUCAAGGAAAAACACUAACAUGUGGUUCCCAUUGGGGAGGCACAAGAUGGAGGGUAAAGUGAAGCAAUCUGAAAGGUGAGCAGUGGGAAAUGCAACAGUUAAAGGGAGGAUAAAGGGAGAGGAGUGCACCUCCAUCCUGCUUUCAAACUUCAAAACUGUGAAGUCCCCAGCAUGCACCACCUCAAAACAGCUGCCCGGGGUCUGUGCUGAAAACCACCAUGCGGUGUGUAAAAGCACGCUGCCUUAGUUAGCGGCCUGGCAUGCUGCAUAAAAACAGUCAGGCUUGCUGCAGAUGUCUGCAGCAAGCUGGUAAGUGUUGAAGUGGAAAGAGAGAGCUUACAUGUGUGGUGGCGUGAGAACCAGAGUGGUGGAGGUGUUUUUUGUUAUUGCACAGUCAAAGAGUCCUAACCUCUCCCCAGUUGCCAGUCUUCCACUUGGGACAUCGGCCCCCUUUGCAGCGCUUCUGCCUGCGGGGUUUAGGAGACAGAUGCUGGCAGUUUUCCUCUGGGACGGGGCGGCCUGACCCGCUCGCACAGACCACCUUACGCGACUUGAACCCUCUUCCACAGGAGGCAGAGCACUGCAAGAUGUCAAAGGACAAAAACAAGUGGAAUUGAAAUCAAAAGGUAUGUUUUGUGUUUAAAGAGCAACUGCAAAAAAGGUGCACACGUCAUCGCAGUGAAAUUCAGUUUUUUUGGUGAAAUUGCAUUACUGAGAUAUAGAAGACAAAUAACUGGAAAGAAGUCUGAUUAAAUAAAUCAUAAUCUGCAUGGGUAAAUUAAUAAACACGUGGCUUGUUUUUGACAAAAAACAGUCCCCGCCCCAAAGAAAUUGAUAGGAGCUCGAGUUGCACGUGGUUAACUAGUCCAAUAGCAAAGCGUCCUCAUCAACCCGGCAGAAGUUUGUUUCACUUCCGGGUUUACAGAACUACUGGGAGUUUAACCUGGUGUGACAAGCAGCCCCGCACACACACACACACACACACACACACACACAUACUGUAAUGUUACAAGGGCUGGGCUGUGCUUGGAUGAUCCCAGGGGGCGUUGCAUGUGAGGAUGGAUGGGAAGCAACAGGCUCCGAGUUGAAUGAGUAAGCGGCGCAGUGUGUGCUGCUGUCCUGACCAGCGAGGGACUGUAUGCUGCGACCUCUCACCUCAUUCAGGGGGGAGGAAGGCUCACGAGAGGAGGGGUUAUUAACAUUCUUGUUCCCCAUUGUUAAAUAUGGGCAACCCAAACAUUUCCAAUUCCGUUGGAAGAAAUAAAGUAAGAGUCCAAUCAA
Molecule: non-coding RNA, 2283 nt
Organism: Gasterosteus aculeatus aculeatus (three-spined stickleback)
Lineage: Eukaryota; Metazoa; Chordata; Actinopteri; Perciformes; Gasterosteidae
Source: RefSeq, a predicted model, not a curated record